UUAGAAAUUAAAGCACCGCGAAAAGGCCUCACUUGCUAGCCGCAAGCCUUGUGUGCGCAUAUGACACCUAAUAAGCCUCUGGUCAUCGUCCACCUCAUGCGCUGCCAUCCUCCGAUUCUUGGUGUACUGUCCUCAUCGCUCCAUUGUUGGUGUACUGUCCUCAUCGCUCCCUGUGUGUGAUCACCGGCACAUAUGAGUGGAUGCGAAGGCGGUGAGCGAUGAGGAAGCAUUGCCGCUAGCGACAAAUUAGGGGGACCUAAAUUGCAUAUUUAGAGUUUAGAGACAUUAUGACAUGCCUAAACAAAUUUAGGAAUCUAGAUGACAUCUAAUGAAAAGUCAUGGAUCUAGAUGACCUGGCAUGCUAGUUCCCUACCCGCAUUUAGUUUGAUAUGUUGCUGUACAUUAGGUCAGUCUCCGUGGGAGUUUCAUGGGCACAGUUACCUAGAUUGAGAAUUAAGUAACUGUGCCAGAUGAGUUUUAUGAUGAUGAAACUCUUCUCACAUCCCAUGAAACUCUAUCUUUCUCUCUCCUUACCAUGUCAGCAAAAAUAAUAUUUAAUGCUAUGAAAUCCUCUAUGAAACUCCCAUUGAGACUGAUCUUAGGAUCACCUAAUCCUUGCAUGAGUUUUUAUAGUUCUGUUUAGUUGGGGUAGGUGGAGCAUGCCAACUGAAAAAUAUCACGGAGUAGGAUCACCACUUUCGAGAUGAUAACGUAGAAUAAUCAAAACUAGAAAGGCUCGCGGCAAAGAUGGCCAUGUAUCUCGCGUUGUAGUAUUGUAGUUGAUGCGGAUUUUAGUUCAUGUACAGGUAAAUCUAUAACUUUAAGUAACGUAGUUAAGAUAAAUUCAUUGUUUCAUUAUUUUGGUAAAGAUGUCAUAGUCUGCAGCUUACAGUUGCACUCGGGGCAUUCUAUUGCCGUGACGUUAUUAUUUAAGUAGUAUAUUAUUUUGGUAUUGAAAUGGAGGUAUGACAUUUAUUGCUAAAUUUAUUGUAGUGAAAGAAGAGAUAAAAUAACUUAUUAGAAAGGGAGGAACACAAUUAGUCAGACAUGAGGAUCAAAGUGUGGCCAGCGCAGCGCCACAGGCGUUCCCCACUGGGGUUGGGCCUAUCCUCAGCCAUUCCUGGGCUUCGACUAGGUUGGGAGCGUCCUUUGCGGCAGAAAAUUCUGUGAUGGGUGGCCUCGAAGCACCGAUAGACGAUGUCCCAGAGCUCAUCGUCGCCGCACGGGCCUCGCCAUUGAUGAGCUCGAGGGAGGAUGGGAUAAGGUAGGGAGUGAGGGCACCGAACACCAGUCCCCUCAGCUCCACCGCUCCAAGCAGAGCCAACGCUACCGCGAUAACCUCCGCACCGUCUACACCACCGCUGCUAAUUCUCGAUGCCCUUCUAGUCGCCCAUCAGCCGCCACAUCUACCGCUAAACCUCCGCAAACUCCUCGGCCAGGGCGUGCCGUCGGGGGAUGGUUUCUCGGACUACCGGACCCUAGACGGUCUCCGCCUCCUCCGCUUCGCCGUGCAACGACUGUCGCGGUCGCCGCUGCGCUGCCCCUCGCCCCGAGCUGACUUCCUCCUCCGUGCGUUCGCCGCUGAGCCGCCCACUAGCGCACCAAUCCAGCGCCAACUCUCUGCGCUAGCCCCACCGGCUGCUUCCAUGACACCGUGUGUAGCCUCUCCUGCGUGUCUGCAGCGCCCCACCUCUUCGCUACUGCCGUGGAGGCCUCGCGCCUCCAUUCCGCCACUGACGCCACCUAGUGGAUGCCAUGCCACUAAAGGGACAUCCGCGACGCCGCAGGGCUACUCCUCAACGACCUCCUCGACGCCUUCUCCGAAUAGUGAUGAGCACCCGGCUGGUCCAUGGCUCCCGCGCGCAAGGGUAGGCAUCGGGGAUUCGGGUCUUCGCAUCAAGCAGCGGAUUCUAGUUAGUAAUUAUUUUUGUCAUAUGCACACACUCUGUACAAUUUAAAUAUGCGCUCUGAACCUCUGGGGUCGCCAUUAAUUCGUGGUGGCCGACACUGUCCUCUGCACUCUGAAACCCACGAUGAGUUGCCGGGUCUACAGUUCCCAGACGUGAA
This is a long non-coding RNA of Panicum virgatum (switchgrass), 2067 nucleotides long. RefSeq lists it as uncharacterized. The transcript is spliced from 2 exons. NCBI's taxonomy places the organism in Eukaryota, Viridiplantae, Streptophyta, Magnoliopsida, Poales, Poaceae. The record is from RefSeq and is a predicted model, not a curated record.